RNAcentral lists this ribosomal RNA (505 nucleotides) under uncultured bacterium. RNAcentral's name for it is "partial 16S ribosomal RNA". It matches the Rfam family "Bacterial small subunit ribosomal RNA", at positions 28 to 507 of the family's 1533-position model. The record is from RNAcentral.
GACGAACGCUGGCGGCGUGCCUAAUACAUGCAAGUAGAACGCACAGUUUAUACCGUAGCUUGCUACACCAUAGACUGUGAGUUGCGAACGGGUGAGUAACGCGUAGGUAACCUGCCUGGUAGCGGGGGAUAACUAUUGGAAACGAUAGCUAAUACCGCAUAAUAUUGAUUAUUGCAUGAUAAUUGAUUGAAAGAUGCUAUUGCAUCACUACCAGAUGGACCUGCGUUGUAUUAGCUAGUAGGUGAGGUAACGGCUCACCUAGGCGACGAUACAUAGCCGACCUGAGAAGGGGGACGGCCACACCUGGACUGGGACACGGCCCAGACUCCUACGGGAGGCAGCAGUAGGGAAUCUUCGGCAAUGGACGAAAGUCUGACCGAGCAACGCCGCGUGAGUGAAGAAGGUUUUCGGAUCGUAAAGCUCUGUUGUAAGAGAAGAACGGGUGUGAGAGUGGAAAGUUCACACUGUGACGGUAUCUUACCAGAAAGGGACGGCUAACUACGUG